Molecule: ribosomal RNA, 402 nt
Filed under: bacterium
Lineage: Bacteria
Description: partial 16S ribosomal RNA
Rfam family: Bacterial small subunit ribosomal RNA
Source: RNAcentral
UGGGGAAUUUUGCACAAUGGGGGAAACCCUGAUGCAGCGACGCCGCGUGAUUUAGAAGGCCUUCGGGUUGUAAAAAUCUUUUCUAUGGGAAGAAAAUGACAGUACCAUAGGAAUAAGGACCGGCUAAUUACGUGCCAGCAGCCGCGGUAAUACGUAAGGUCCGAGCGUUGUCCGGAAUCAUUGGGCGUAAAGGGUACGUAGGCGGGUAAGCAAGUUAGAAGUGAAAUCCUAUAGCCCAACUAUAGUAAGCUUUUAAAACUGCUCAUCUUGAGGUAUGGAAGGGAAAGUGGAAUUCCUAUUGUAGCGGUGAAAUGCGCAGAUAUUAGGAGGAAUACCGGUGGCGAAGGCGACUUUCUGGCCAUAACCUGACGCUGAGGUACGAAAGCGUGGGUAGCAAACAGG